Molecule: ribosomal RNA, 253 nt
Filed under: uncultured bacterium
Lineage: Bacteria
Description: partial 16S ribosomal RNA
Rfam family: Bacterial small subunit ribosomal RNA
Source: RNAcentral
UACGGGGGGGGCAAGCGUUGUUCGGAAUUACUGGGCGUAAAGGGCUCGUAGGCGGCCAACUAAGUCGGAUGUGAAAUCCCCAGGCUUAACCUGGGAACUGCAUCCGAUACUGGAUGGCUUGAAUCCGGGAGAGGGAUGCAGAAUUCCAGGUGUAGCGGUGAAAUGCGUAGAUAUCAGGAGGAACACCGGUGGCGAAGGCGGGUCUCUGGGCCGAUACUGACGCUGAGGAGCGAAAGCGUGGGGAGCGAACAGG